AUGAGCAACCAUUGCGAAUGCUGUGAGAGGAUGAUACGGUUCAUCAGAGAAACGUGCUGUGCCGGCACGAAGGCUGCCUCUGAUGUUACAAAACCAAGCAGUCGCUAUGUUGAUAAUUCAAGCAGUUCUCAUAAUGGUACCACUCAGUCGUCAGCAGGGGAAGGUUCAGAUUCAGAUGGAAGCCAAAAGGAAAGCUCGUACAGUCAUCAAAAAUCAGCAAAGAAGGCUGCAAUAUCAGAUUCUUCUGAGGAAUUAUCAGCUGAAGACAGUCUAUCUGCAGACAAUUCGGUGGAAUCAGAUGAUCUGCAGAUGCAUUCGGAUGACUGUGUCUUUUCAGGGUGGUGCUAUCUUACAGAAGCACAGAAGGUGAAGAUACAUGCACUUGUAGAGAAAAUUCGACCUGAAAUCCCAGUGCUUGUUGUACAGAUGAAGAAGACCAGCGCAAACAUUGGUAAUCUGGUAAUACGCAAGGACUACGCACUCAAGUACUUCCCAUGUGAAGCUACAGAUAUCAUACUCCAGCUGCCUGGCAAGAACAAGGAAUGGAGGUGCAAAUUGCAGAUCAGGCCAUCUGGCAUGGUUGGUGCUGGUCGGCGCAACCUUUAUUUGGGCAGCUUUGUCCACGACAACUGUGUUCAAGAGGGAGAUAUCUGCCUCUUUCAGCCACUAGCAAAGGUUAAGGAAGAAAAGUUCACAGUAAUUGUCCAUCUGCUUCACAAAGAGGGCAUUCGUCGUUCCUCUGGUGGAAGAGCUGAUAUGGCACACACGGCUGCUGAAAGAAGGAUAUGCGCAAAGACGGCGUUAACAGCCUCUGUUAAGGAGGAACCGGCUACCGAUGGUGAAGAUACGUUAUCUUUGGGAUCUGAAGAGGAUGGAGGCAAUUCUGAGGGAGCUUCUGAGACCCCCUUCAUAUUGCCAGACAGACCCUUUGUAACGCCAGCACAGGAGCAGAAAGUGCGGGAGAAAGUAGAAGCCAUUGACUCGACAGUACCAGUUUACGUCGCGAUCCUGAACAGGUCCAAUGUUCGUUACGACAAUUUCACCACCUUCCUAACAUUUGGCGCAAAGUACGCAUCAAGGUAUCUCAACAAGAAUUACGGUGCUGGGCAUCACGGAAAGAAGAACAUGAUCAGUUUGGUGCUUCAGCGGGAGGGGAAGAGCAGGACGUGGAACACGGAGCUGCAACGCAGGGUGGAUCGGACGUCGAUCCUCAAAGGAUGGGCGUCUUUCGCCCGUGGCAACCGCCUGCGGGAGGGUGACCUCUGCCUCUUCAAGUUAAUGGAAAGCGUGGAACCGCUGAAGAUGAUGGUGUACAUCAUUCGCCGGUCAUGCUGCUCUAAUUACCAGAUCAGCAAUGCUUCGAUUAUCAGUGUUGUUGUGCUAUUAAUUAUCAAGUCAUGGGACACAAUGCCGAGGAAGCGCAAAGGAGAUGGUGAUGGGAUUGAUGAGGUUCCUUCGAAAAAGGCGAAGCGCCCUCCUCCGCGGAACAGAGCCUCAUCCAGUUCGCUUCUUGUUGCAUGCAAAGACAUGAAUGAUGACAGGAAGGCUGCCAUUGAUGAGAUGGAUUUCACAAGCCUUCGGAAUAUCCAGUGUGACCAUCUCUUCAACAAUCUCAGUGUGUGGCUUGCUGACCUGUACAAUCCCGAUUCCCGUGUGGUGGUCGUACAAGGGCGGGGUAGGCUUCCGGUUAAUGAGAAAUAUGUGCAUCAUGUUAUGGGCGUGCCGCAUGGAGGGAAAGAUGUCCCUUACAACCUCCCUACCGAAGCUGAUAUUGAGUUAGGACUUGAGUUGUUUGGCAAACUCAGAUAUGCCCCUAAAAUGACUGAUCUUGUCUAUCUCAUCAAGGGUUCUGUAAAUGCUGAUGAUACUUUCAAGCGUAUGUGGCUUUUGCUUGCUAGCAAUAGAGUCAUCGCCCCGACCACCUCCAACAAAGUCAGCCCUAGGUGUUUCUUUGUUUUCAACUUGCGGCGGGACAUUGAUGGUAUUAAAAAACUCAAUUGGUCCAUAUUCAUUGCCGACGAAUUACACAAGGCACUGCUGAAACGCAAGCCUACCAGGGGUUGCCUUCUCUUCUACAAUCUAUUGUACAUUCAUGCAACUGAUCUUUCUGGACUCGGCAUCGUAUUGCCUGAUGGUCCUUUUCCUAUCAAUGUCUGGACGAAGAAGCUGAUAACUCUUGUCCUAAACAAGGAUGUUCAGGCUGACAAAGCUUCUUUCGGGAAACUACCGUUGAAGCCUGAGUUUGGCAUGAAUUUAUGUCUGUUUGGUGGUCUGGAAGGUCUUGAUAUAUUUAUGCGUGUUCAUGUUGCCCCAAGCUGCAGUGAGGAGAAACUUGCUAAAUCUACUCAGACAGUUGGUCGAUUCACGUCUGCCAUGGCUGGCAUACUAGGUGAUCUUGUGCAAUCAUUCACCUGUUUGGAUGAUGAAGGACAUUCAGAUGCCUCCCGUCAGCUGGACGCUGGAUUGAAUGUUCUUUCUUCUACUGCUCGUACUACGGCAAGGACCAGAUGCUCAUCGCAAAGCAGGCAGCCAGAAAGCCCUGGAAAGAACAUUGCCGAUGAUUCUAAUAGUGAUGACGAGUACCACGGCGGCAAUGACGCUUGUUCUGAUGCUGACUUCGAUGAUGAUGAUGAUGAUGCUACAGGCAGCGGGCCAGCUGAUGAUGACACCACACAUCCGGAGGAUGCAACUGUCAAAGCUCAUGACAACAUAGCAGCAAAUGUUGGAGGCACGCCUCUCCGCACUGGUGAUGAGAACCUUAAUGAGUCUCAGAUCAUGCUCACUGGCACCUCUCACACAGCAUCAAGGCGUAAGAAACUGAGGCUACCAUCACCCCCCCGUCCAGCUUCACCAACUGUACCGCCCCGUCCAGCUUCACCAGUUGUGCCGCCACGACCUUCUUCACCCGUUAUUCCGCCCAGCCCAUCGCAAAGGCCAUCUUCACCAGAUUCCCCGUUAGCAGCUGAAACUCAUUUAGCUGUGAAGAAAAUUGUGGUCCAAGAGAUUGGUAUCCGUGUGGCUGAAAAGGGAACUGGUGUCACUGUCCCACCAUCCACCAAGCGGAAUGAGGCUCCACGCAGGGCACCUGUCAAACAAGCUGUUGUGGCUAAGGAUUCACCGAGUGCACCAGUUAAAAUUUUGGUUUACGUUAGCAUGAACAAUAUGCUGCUUGCUGCAGCGGCUACUAUUACUGAUGUUGUUGAAGAUAUCGCCAGCGCGGCUGUUGAUGUUGAAGAUGAAGUCGUUGCCAAUGCAGGGCAUGAUGAAGCCGUUCGUGUCAUUGAAGAUGUUGUGGGUGGUACCCGAGUCAAUGUGCCUAGUGAUACGGCAAUAGCUGAAGGUCAAGAGCAUGAUGGCCAGGAUCCUGCGGUGAUAAAAGAUGUCAAUGAAGAUAAAUCAGUCCCAGGAGUUGAUCCUGUCGUAGUGUCGAGCACCCCUGGAGCUGGAGAAGACACCGUUGUCUAUAUAGCCUAUGGUGAUUUUACGCCACGCAGCUGCUCUCUUGGGCUUGAUGCCAUUUUUGGUGCAACGCUAGAAGUACCACCAUCGACUGAAGCAUCUCCGACGGUUCAAGCUACACCAGCAUCAGCUCCUAUGGUUCAAGCUGCACCUCCAUCACCAGAAGCAUCAGCAGUGGCGGCAUCGUAUCAAGUACAACAUGCAGCAGGAAAAGCAUUAGCGGUGGUGGCAAAGGAUCAAGUACCACCUGCAGUACCAGAAGCAUCGGUGGCGGCGACAUCUGAUCAAGUACCCAUCUGCAUCAGGAGAAGCAUCAGCAGCAGCGGCAUCGGCAUCGGCUCAAGUACCUCCUGCAGCACCAGAAGCAUCAGUGAUGGCGGCAUCUGA
Molecule: ribosomal RNA, 3846 nt
Filed under: Triticum aestivum (bread wheat)
Lineage: Eukaryota; Viridiplantae; Streptophyta; Magnoliopsida; Poales; Poaceae
Description: partial small subunit ribosomal RNA
Source: RNAcentral